GGAGUCGGCCAGGCAGUCGCUCUACCUUCGGGUGGGGAGGAAAGUCCGGGCUCCACAGGGCAGAGUGCCAGAUAACGUCUGGGCGGCGUGAGCCGACGGAAAGUGCAGCAGAAAGGAAACCGCCGAUGGUCCGCAAGGACACAGGUAAGGGUGAAAAGGUGCGGUAAGAGCGCACCGCGCGGGUGGCAACACUCCGUGGCGAUGGUAAACCCCACUCGGAGCAAGACCAAAUAGGGGAGCGUUGGUGUGGCCCGCACUGCUCCCGGGUAGGUUGCUACAGGUGUCCGGCGACGGGCAUCGCAGAUGAAUGACUGUCCACGACAGAACCCGGCUUAUCGGCCGACUCCCUCU
This 351-nucleotide RNase P RNA is filed under the name Chromatiales bacterium. Its description in RNAcentral is "RNase P RNA component class A". It matches the Rfam family "Bacterial RNase P class A". From Rfam's summary of the family: Ribonuclease P (RNase P) is a ubiquitous endoribonuclease, found in archaea, bacteria and eukarya as well as chloroplasts and mitochondria. Its best characterised activity is the generation of mature 5'-ends of tRNAs by cleaving the 5'-leader elements of precursor-tRNAs. Cellular RNase Ps are ribonucleoproteins. Lineage: Bacteria; Pseudomonadati; Pseudomonadota; Gammaproteobacteria; Chromatiales. The record is from RNAcentral.